Molecule: ribosomal RNA, 254 nt
Filed under: uncultured bacterium
Lineage: Bacteria
Description: partial 16S ribosomal RNA
Rfam family: Bacterial small subunit ribosomal RNA
Source: RNAcentral
UACGUAGGGCGCAAGCGUUGUCCGGAAUUAUUGGGCGUAAAGAGCUCGUAGGUGGUUUGUUACGUCUGCUGUGAAAACCUAGGGCUUAACCCUGGGCCUGCAGUGGAUACGGGCAGACUAGAGGUAGGUAGGGGAGAAUGGAAUUCCCGGUGUAGCGGUGAAAUGCGCAGAUAUCAGGAGGAACAUCGGUGGCGAAGGCGGGUCUCUGGGCCGUAACUGACGCUGAGGAGCGAAAGCGUGGGGGAGCGAACAGG